Molecule: long non-coding RNA, 747 nt
Filed under: Phasianus colchicus (ring-necked pheasant)
Lineage: Eukaryota; Metazoa; Chordata; Aves; Galliformes; Phasianidae
Description: lncRNA (ENSPCLG00000013973.1)
Source: RNAcentral
UCAAAAUCCCCAUUUUCCCCCAAAAUCCCCAUUUUCCAUUAUAAAAAUCCCCAUUUUCCCCAAAAAUCCCCAUUUUUCAUUCUCAAAAAUCCCCAUUUUUGCCCCAAAUCCCCAUUUUUCCAUUACAAAAAUCCCCAUUUUCCCCCAAAAUGCACAUUUUUAUUUCUCACCCCCCCCAUUUUUACCCCAAAUCUCCAUUUUUUAAUCCUCAAAAAUCCCCAUUUUCACCCCAUAUCCCCAUUUUCCAUUAUAAAAAUCCCCAUUUUCCCCCCAAAUCCCCAUUUUUCAUUCUCAAAAUCCCCAUUUUUCCCCCAAAUCCCCAUUUUUCAUUCUGAAAAUCCCCAUUUUCCCCCAAAUCUCCAUUUUGUACUCUCAAAAAUCCCCAUUUUUCUCCAAAAUCUCCAGGUUUAUUUCCCAAAACUCGCAAUUUUUACCCCAGAUCUCCAUUUUUUCAUUCUCAAAAAUCCCCAUUCUUGCCUUAAAUCCCCAUUUUCCAUUAUAAAAAUCCCCAUUUUCCCCCAAAAUGCACAUUUUUAUUUCCCAAAAAUCCCCAUUUUCCCCCCAAAUCUCCAUUUUUCCUUUCUCAAAAAUCUCAUUUUUGCCACAAAUUCCCAUUUUUAUUUCUCAAAAUUCCCCAUUUUUGCCCCAAAUCCCCAUUUUUUCAUUCUCAAAAAUCCCCAUUUUCCCCCAAAUCCCCAUUUUCCAUUAUAAAAACCCCCCAUUUUCCCCCAAAAUCCCCAUUUUUCA